Long non-coding RNA from Equus caballus (horse), 3491 nucleotides. The record is from Ensembl. NCBI's taxonomy places the organism in Eukaryota, Metazoa, Chordata, Mammalia, Perissodactyla, Equidae.
CAGCUAGAUGUCACUUACUAGACAACUAGAUGUCACCAGAUGUCAGGGUAAAAGAAAAUAUUAGCACUGAGGUAAGGAUUCAGAGAAUAUAUCACCAAAGAGUCCAUUUAAGGGAAAUGCUCAAAAAGGUUCUCUAUCAAGUAUCAAAUUCAUCAUAACAGAGAUCUCCAGAGUGGGAAAAGAUAUGGUCAACAAUGAUAGCAAAGAAUCACACAAUUUUAAUUAAAUACAAUGGAUGAUGGUAAUGUGACUGGGAAUUUGUGAUUUAAGUGAAAAGUAAAGAUUCCUGGAACAAAGAAGCCACAUUUUUGGAGAAAAUCUAAUAAUGUCUGGAAAUAGAACGCUUGACUGUUUCGGUAAAGCCUCUAGGUGGGACAGCUGCUGCAGGGAGAGGGGUGAGAAUGUUACAAGACUGUGAGGUGGCAGAGAACACCGGGGCUACUGAGUGUUCCGCAUUCUCAUCCUACUUGGGGUGGUGAGCAGUGGGACACGGAGGGAGGAAGAGUAUAAUUCGAAUAUUUAAUAUAAGAGCAGAGAAAUGUAUGUAUUACGGGGGUAAACACCAGUGGAAUGGAGAAGCACCAAAGAAUUUUGGAAGUACUCAGGAGGAAAAGAAAAGAACAGAGGGCAGCCUGGCCUCACCUCUCAGCAGGGCUGUCACAGUGCCCUCCCCUCACUUCCUGGAACUCCUUCUUUGGCUUUUGCGACACUGCGCUCACCGGCUUUUCCCACUGGAUGCUCCUUGUCCCUCUCUCUUAGUGGUGGUUGGUGCCACACCAUCUUUUCUUCCCUAGCUAUAAUGCCCCCUAGAUGAUUUUAGCUAAUCCCAUGGCUUUAGUAGUGUGGCUGGGUUGAGGGCCACGUCUCCAGCCCUGACCUUCCCCUGAGCUUCAGACCCAGACUCUACAGCCUAUUUAACAUCUUGGAAGCCAAGAUUAACAUGUAUAAAACCAAAUUCUUGUUUUAUGCCUCCCCUCACCCCAAACCUGUUCCUCCCUAUGCUUUAAUAAUAAUUACAGGUGGCCGGCCCCAUGACCUAGUGGUUAAGUUUGUUCACUCUGCUUUGGCAGCCAGGGUUCAGUUUCCAUGCCUGGACCUACACCACUCAUUGCCAGACAUGCUGUGGUGGUGACUCACAUACAAAAUAGAAGACUGGCAUAGGUGUUAGCUCAGGGUGAAUCUUCCUCAAGGAAAAAGAGGAAGAUUGGCAAUAGUUGUUAUCUCAGAGCCAAUCUUCCUCAGCAAAAAGAAAAGAAAGAGAGGAAGAAAGGGAUAGAAAGGAAGAAAGAAGGAAAGACAAGAAGGAAAGGGAAGGAAGGAAGGAAGGAGGGAAGAAAGAGAAAGAGAGAAAGAAACAAACAAACAAACAAAGAGAAAGAAAGAAAAAUAUUUACCAUUCAAUAAAUGUCACACCUUCUACCCAUUUACUUAAGCCGUAAACCAGGAAGUCAUCCUUGAUUCUUCUUUUCCUUCCCUCUGACAUCCAGUCCAUCAGCAGUCCAUGUCAGCUCUACCUCCCAAUCUUUCCUGAGUCUCUCCCCUUCUCCCCAUCCUGUGCCACCAUCCUUCUCUUACUUAACCUAUUACAAGAACCCCCUCGCUGGAAUCCCUUUUCCUACUCUUUCCCUCCUAUCAACCAUUCUCCAGACCGUAUCUACUCUAAAGUGGUCAUUAAGAAUGUAAAUCACACGAUAUCACUUUGCUAAGAACCAUCUAGCAGCUUCCUGUUGCAUUCAGACUGUGUCCAAUCUCCCUACCGUCCCUGCGAAGCCUUCCCUGCUCCCAGUCUCCUGUCUUCAGAUAUCUGCUUCGCUCCUUCCGCCCCAGCCGUGGCGCUCCUUCUGUCCCACAUGCGGGCCAAGAACAUUUCUGCACUGGGAACUUGGCACACGCUCUUUCCUCUGCCGGGAAUAAUUCGUUCUGUCCUGUCAUCAUUCAGGACUCACCUUAAUUGGCAUCCAGUCAUAGGGGACUUUCUUGAUGAACGACCCACACCCCCAGAUCGCCACCAAACCGCCACUAUUCUGUCACAUUAUCCUAAGUGUCAGUCAGGGUUCUUGGUUACACACAAGAGAAAGCAGCUGACUAAUCGAAUAUGUAUAUGUUAGAGCUUAGCAGGUGACCCACAGAGCUUUGAGGGGUCCAGAUGGCCAGGCUUUGAGACCACUCAUCCAGGAGCCACACCCUGAGUCACACCACCAGAGCUGGUCCAGCAGAGGCUGGUCUGUUAAUCCUGGCCAAGACAUCACAGCUCAAACCCUUGUUCCACUGACUCUGGACACUUUCUCUGCCCCAGAACUGCUGCCACCAUUGCCUCAGGCGAUUGUGUGUGGCUGCUGCCAUGACUGCCAUUUCAACAGCACAGAUCCUGUGGGCCUCCUCCCUUCAUGUCACUAGCUUGUGUUUGAAAGUCUGUGGUUCCCAGGCUGUCAAAGACCCCAGCUCGUCCUGCAUGCUGCAAAGGACCCUGGGGGUAUUACCGAACAUGAAGAGGAGAUAGUCCAGGUGCUUGUCCUUGACGGUGUCUGUCUCCAUGGAGGAUAGUGGAUUCUGGAGCCAGGAAGCCAGAGAAAAAGGUUGCCUCCCCUGCCUAGAUGAAUCUACUGACAGCUGAUCCAUGUAACUUCAGAGGGUUAACAUGAGGAUUAAAUGAGUCCAUGUAAACCCUUGGAGCCGUGACUGGAAAUAUAUACCUGCUCAAUAAGUGCUUGCUGUGGUUUUCUUUUCAUCUGCUAAUGAAGAGUGAAGACCUUUCCUCCCCCAGCAGAUCCCCGUACUUCCCUGGUCAGCACCAAUGCAGCUGCAAGAAAGACCGAAACCGAGACUUUGGCUCUCUAGAUUCCACAGCAGAGGAAGCGAGGACGGAGAGGGAAGUGGGGCUGCGUGUGGAUGAGCCACCUCUCAGAUUGGCCACGUGGCCGUUACUGGCUGCUUUUACCGGUGUUACAUCCUUUGCUCUGGUCUACCCACCAUAGUAAAAUAAUCCACUGGAGUAAUAGUGGAUUUGAAAAUUUCUCCUUGAAUUUCCAACAGUGUUUUGGUUUUGAUUUUGUUUUGUUUUGCUUUAUAGCAUUUAUGCAUUUCCAAACCAUGUUAACAUAUUAAUCUAAAAUAUCUCUCUUUGGCCUGCUUAAUUUUUUUUUUAAAGAUUUUAUUUUUUCCUUUUUCUCCCCAAAGCACCCCCGGUACAUAGUUGUAUAUUCUUCGUUGUGGGUCCUUCUAGUUGUGGCAUGUGGGACGCUGCCUCAGUGUGGUUUGAUGAGCAGUGCCGUGUCCGCGCCCAGGAUUCAAACCAACGAAACACUGGGCCGCCUGCAGCAGAGCGCAUGAACUUAACCACUCGGCCCCGGGGCCAGCACCCUGCUUAAUGUUUUUUAUCUUAAAUUUUAUUUGGUCUGUAAUGACUCUUGCCACACCUGCAGUCAUUUUCUUGACAUUUUCUUCAUCUACUGUUUCCCAUCUCUUUCUUUUUAAUCUUUCCGUGUCGUUAG